Non-coding RNA from Schistosoma rodhaini, 48 nucleotides. The record is from Rfam. Lineage: Eukaryota; Metazoa; Platyhelminthes; Trematoda; Strigeidida; Schistosomatidae.
AUCCAGCAAACGAGUCCCAAAUAGGACGAAACGAGCGUCAAACUGGAU